GAAUUUGUGGACUUCAUUUAGCCCAACAGCGUUGCCGUAUUUUCAACAUUAAGGUUCCAAAUAGACAACUAUAAAGUUAUUAUUAGAUAAUAUUGCACAAAACUUUCUUCUCUGUGAAGAAGCAUUAGAGUAUUGCUGUUGAAACGCUAAGAUCAGCUGACAUCACAAUGUGAAGAACUUACAACAACUCAGUGAAGGCAUUCUUGGAGUAUUCAACGGAUUCUUUGAGAUUGGGUGGUGAAUGUUAAAAAUAUGUUGAAUUUUUAAAAAGUAACUUUCUCAAGCACCUUAGUUGCAGCUCCGAACAUACUUUGUAAUCCCCAACCAAAUGUGAAAGAACGGUCAUCCCGAAUAUUACGAUAAAAAGGUGCAACGCUAAUAAAGAAGGUACAUGAUGCACUUUCUACUCAAAAACAGGGACAUUUUUUCUUAAAAUUAUGUAGUCCUCUCAAUGCCGUUCUCUCAAAACGAAAAUAUGAUCUGAUGUGAAAAGGGGUCACGGAUAUGUACAAACUAUGGACUGUUGCAAAUGGGGUCACCCACAUUACAGAACUUUCUGUAUAGAAUAAAAAAUAUUUGCGUUUUUGCUUUACUCUAACAUGUUCUCUUAAAAGCAGUUGAGCGUGACCUUAACUUAAUAUUAACGGUAUUUAUUGACUUUGACCCAAAAACAACCUAAAGGUGAAAAUUACCACUUAGAGUAUAUAUAACAAAGAUCCCAUUUCUCAUUUUGAUUUACCUUGAUUCAGGCACAAAAACUCAUAAAAGUACACAACAAAUGAUUAAUUGAAAAAUAUGCAAAUAUCUAUAUUACUGUAUCAGAAAGUAUAUUAUUAAACAAACAUAUGAUCGUCAAUAAAGAGCUUACAUUUUUAGUACCGUUACAUAAUUUUUUACUGAUAAUUCUUAUCAUAUUAAUGGUGUCCAUUGACAUCUCUAUAUAAAUUAUUACAAUUAUUGCGUUUGCUGCAAGGAAAAUAUGUAUAUAUGAAUUUAUUAUAUAAGGGAAAUGAACAAUCUUAAACAUGCCUACCUCUUUUUAUUUAUGCUAUACUAAAAGCUUUCUUACACAGUAAAUAAAAAUCUUAAGUUCCAGAUACUUUUUAUUUUAGGCUUAUCUAAUACGAAAAAAAAGAUAUUGUUUUAAUACGAGUCUGUAAUUUGCGUCAAAGUAAAGAAUGCUAUAAUUACACUUAAUACGUUUGUUAUUGUAAAUUGAUCAAAUUUUUGGAGAUCUUACGCGUCUUAGUGGCAACAUCUGCAGCUUUAACGAUCAUAUUUGACAAUAAAGUUACUUUAAGUAUAAUUAAUUCUUAAGUCAUUA
Ceratitis capitata (Mediterranean fruit fly) is the source of this 1324-nucleotide long non-coding RNA. RefSeq lists it as uncharacterized. Lineage: Eukaryota; Metazoa; Arthropoda; Insecta; Diptera; Tephritidae. The transcript is spliced from 2 exons. The record is from RefSeq and is a predicted model, not a curated record.